This is a long non-coding RNA of Gadus chalcogrammus (walleye pollock), 1389 nucleotides long. RefSeq lists it as uncharacterized. Lineage: Eukaryota; Metazoa; Chordata; Actinopteri; Gadiformes; Gadidae. The transcript is spliced from 2 exons. The record is from RefSeq and is a predicted model, not a curated record.
UAUCAUAAUGGAUGUUGUUUUUGUCUUAUAAUAACUGUGACUAUCCCACCCAUGACUAUCUAUUUUGCGAAGUUUAGAAGCAAGGUAGAUCGGAGGAGAACAUAGUAAACUGUUAAAAUUGCUAUAUGCUAUGCUGUAUUUGAUAACUACGUUGCGAGAUUGUGUACAGUGUUUUAAUAUAAUCUCUCUCUAGUCUCUACACGUAUUUGUUUUUGCAACUUCGGAUCGACUUUCGAUCUAGUUAUUUGCUGUUAACUGCUAUUGUUGCCAGAACGUGUUAUGAUUGUGUCAGGUAUAUACAGUAUUUAUGCUGCAUUUUGGAUAAGUGUCAUUAAAGAGGGAAAAAUAAUGAAGAGGAAGAAGGCAGACAUAGCGUCCUUCUUCAGGGCAAGUGGAAAGAAGUCAGCUAAGGCAAAGAAUGAGGGUGAGAUGGAGAAAAAACAGGCAGAGAGCGAGGAUGAGGAGCCCCCAGAGAGCAGCAACUUAAAUGGACCUCCAGGUAUACAGUAUAGAGACUCACAUAUAGUACAGCUUGGUAUGAGGUUAUCUUAUUUACAAUUGGCUUAAAGUUUGUCUAUUCAUAUACAGGUCAGGUUGAAAGUGCAUUGUAAAACAUAUCAGUUCGUUUUUUCAGUACAUUAAAGUAUGGCAUAUUUGUAUUUGCUACCCAGAGACACUUUCACUAAUAUUAUACUUUAGCUUAGUGUGUUUGUUAAACACUAUAUAGCAUGCAUUAGAAAACCUUUAGGAAAAUUACCUGUACACCUUAUUGUAAUUAUUUUUGAUGUUUCUGAAAGAUUGAUCAAGAGCAGGACAGAAGAGUCCUCCCUGAGGAGUGGCCCCAGUGGAUCCCCAGAUUCCCACAGAAGAUUCAGACAGCGAGAGAGAGGAGCCUCCAACAACGAGUGGCGGCCCAAGGUACCACCAGGUAUACUCACUCUUUCACACAUGCUGGACACUUUAAUUCCACUUCAGUUUUGCCCAAUCUGAUACAGUGGCCUGAUAAUUCAUAAACAGGUAUGAGUCAUACCACUCACCGUCCUCAACUGGAGUAGAGUUGGAUGAAUGGCCUCAAAUCUAUAACGUUUUAAGCAGAUUAUAGUGUUCAGAUAAUCCAUUAGAUGUAACAUGGGAUAGUACACUCCAAUGUAUGAGUUUAUCUUGAUUGUUAUUAAUCUCUGUUGUAAUUUAAUAAUUGAAUAUGCCUUUUUUUCCAUUUUCAAACGGACAUUUCCAAAUCAAGAACCGAUAGAUCUUUAAGGACAGUCAUUGAAGUGUUCAGUUUUAAUGAGAUGUCACUGUUUGGAUUCUCUGUCUGAUAUGUGUAAAUGUGGCUCAAACUUGAAUCUAAUCUUGCAGAGUCCGCCUAAUACCCAUUGUGAAUAUGAU